Molecule: long non-coding RNA, 216 nt
Organism: Salvelinus namaycush (lake trout)
Lineage: Eukaryota; Metazoa; Chordata; Actinopteri; Salmoniformes; Salmonidae
Exons: 3
Source: RefSeq, a predicted model, not a curated record
CCUGCCUCUAAAACGAGUCUCUCUGGGGAACAUGGCACCAAAUCUAAGAGUCCAAUUAAGCAGGAGAGACCAGCCUCCCCUGUACCCAGCUCUGUGUCCAUGAAGAGUGCCCAGUCUAUGGGUCAUCCUAUAAGGUUUAGAGAGGGAGACUUUUCUACUGAACAAAGAAACCAACAGGAGAGAUCAGAGUCAGAGAUUCUCAGUGGUCAGUCUUCC